RNAcentral lists this ribosomal RNA (500 nucleotides) under uncultured Glomeromycotina. Its description in RNAcentral is "partial small subunit ribosomal RNA". It matches the Rfam family "Eukaryotic small subunit ribosomal RNA", at positions 591 to 1092 of the family's 1831-position model. Lineage: Eukaryota; Fungi; Glomeromycota. The record is from RNAcentral.
CCAAUAGCGUAUAUUAAAGUUGUUGCAGUUAAAAAGCUCGUAGUUGAAUUUCGAGAUCAGUACGCUGGUCGUGCCUUCGGUAUGCACUGGUGUCACUGGUUUCUCCCUUCUGAAGAACCGUCAUGCCAUUCAGUUGGUGUGGCGGGGAAUCAGGACUGUUACUUUGAAAAAAUUAGAGUGUUUAAAGCAGGCUCGCGCUUGAAUACAUUAGAAUGGAAUAAUGAAAUAGGACGUUUGACCCUAUUUUGUUGGUUUCUAGGAUCGACGUAAUGAUUAAUAGGGAUAGUUGGGGGCAUUAGUAUUCAAUUGUCAGAGGUGAAAUUCUUGGAUUUAUUGAAGACUAACUACUGCGAAAGCAUUUGCCAAGGAUGUUUUCAUUAAUCAAGAACGAAAGUUAGGGGAUCGAAGACGAUCAGAUACCGUCGUAGUCUUAACCAUAAACUAUGCCGACUAGGGAUCGGAUGAUGUUAAUUUUUUAAUGACUCAUUCGGCGCCUUACG